RNAcentral lists this ribosomal RNA (450 nucleotides) under uncultured bacterium. RNAcentral describes it as "partial 16S ribosomal RNA". It matches the Rfam family "Bacterial small subunit ribosomal RNA", at positions 354 to 796 of the family's 1533-position model. The record is from RNAcentral.
GUGGGGAAUAUUGGACAAUGGGCGAAAGCCUGAUCCAGCCAUGCCGCGUGUGUGAAGAAGGUCUUCGGAUUGUAAAGCACUUUAAGUUGGGAGGAAGGGCAGUAAGUUAAUACCUUGCUGUUUUGACGUUACCGACAGAAUAAGCACCGGCUAACUUCGUGCCAGCAGCCGCGGUAAUACGAAGGGUGCAAGCGUUAAUCGGAAUUACUGGGCGUAAAGCGCGCGUAGGUGGUUUUGUAAGUUGGAGGUGAAAUCCCCGGGCUCAACCUGGGAACUGCCUCCACAAGUGGAUGACUAGAGUACGGUAGAGGGUAGUGGAAUUUCCUGUGUAGCGGUGAAAUGCGUAGAUAUAGUAAGGAACACCAGUGGCGAAGGCGACUACCUGGACUGAUACUGACACUGAGGUGCGAAAGCGUGGGGAGCAAACAGGAUUAGAAACCCGUGUAGUCC